This is a long non-coding RNA of Homo sapiens (human), 5273 nucleotides long. The record is from Ensembl. NCBI's taxonomy places the organism in Eukaryota, Metazoa, Chordata, Mammalia, Primates, Hominidae.
GCCUGCCUCCAUUCAUGUAAGAUGUGACUUGCCCCUUCUUGCCUUCUGCCAUGGUUGUGAGGCCUCCCCAGCCACAUGGAACUGGAUGUUAUAGAUCGGGACCGUGGCUAUCCAAAGCUAUGUGCAAAUUGAAAUUAUAAGGAAGCAGAAAAGCUAUGAAGAGGUGGAGAGAGGAAAAGAGAGAUAUACACAGAAAUGGAGCUGAAGAAAGGCAAAUGAAAAGAGAAAGAAGAGUUUGCACAGUACCUCAGUUCUUCAACUGAGCAUCCUUAUAUUCAACUUCCUUUUCCCCCAGAGGAGAUAACUGCAGUGGCUUUUUAUUACUUGAAAACAAAAGAACAAAACCCUAACAAGUGGUUCCUGGUCCAGAAGACUCAGGAAGCUACUUCAGGUGGAAGAGUGUUCCAUUUCAUUGAGAAGCCUUUUACCAAUUGCCAGAGUUUCUUUUAUGUGAACCUUGACAUAUCUCACUAGCUUGGUUGUAAAAAUUUUUACAAUCAUGUUAUCUGUCAGCAUCUGAGAAUGAUGCAUGAACAUUGUCAAGCAGAAGAUACAUCUUGGAGAACAAACUAUAUUAUGCAGUUGCCUGGCACAUUUAAAGCAGAAGUGCUUUAUUUUAACUCAAGAAAGAGAGUUUAUGUGUUUGAUAAAUCUGAAUUAUGUGAUAAAAAUUCUAAUACUGUGAGUAGUUGUCUCUCAUAUUCUUGAAAAAUUUACUUUAAUUAGACAUUAUCACAUAAGAAAAAACCAAAUACAGAAUCAUAUGACUGAAGUCAAUAGAAAAUUAGUAUGCCAGUAUUUGUCUUCCUCUUUAUAAUUUUUUAUUCCCUAUAAAUCUGGGUUUUCAUGUAUUGUUAUGUUAUCAUUUAUUAAUUUCAACUUUAUCCUUGUGUUUAAAAGUAAAGAAACCAAUUGCACAAUAAAGCUCAUACUUUUCUUUCAGUUUUAAAAGAAAGAGAUGGGAAAUAAAAACUAGGUUGUGGUAAUUACCAUUGAAGAAACCCUUUCAGUUGUUUUAUUUUUUGUGCAGAUUUGAUGUUAUUGUAUUAUGAAGGAAGGAAUAAUUACUGUAUAAUUAAAUUUGCUCUCUCAGGUGCCACUGUCAAUUUAUUUUGUCUUAUAUUUUUAAAAGUUGGCAGACGAUAUAUCCAGUGCUUGCUUUUGGAAAACCAAGCUUGGAUCAUAAAUCUAGUACUAAACCUUUCAUUGCAGAACUCAAGCGCUCUAAGCUUUUUUGUUAUUUUCCUUUUAUUUUGGGGAAAAAACUGAUCUCUAAUAAACAGAUGAGCCCAGAUUCUGAAAGCAGACUAUCUUAUUUCAAAUCUUGGCUCUACCGCUUAUUAGCUUUAUGACCAUGGGUAAAGGUAUGUAAUCUGUCUUUAUUUUGGUUUCCUCAUGUGUAAAAUGAAAUAGUAAUGUUAUGUUUCCCAUAGGGUUAAAAGAAUGCCUGGUAUAAGUUGGUGUUAUGUAAGUGUUUGCUCUUUCUAUAUUUCAUGAUGAAUAGACAACCUGUUUCUCAUGGCAAAUGUUUGAUCAUGUACACUUACCUGGUAAGCUCAUCUGUCAUCUGUUCCCCACAGAGACACUCUGUUGCACAACACAGAAUAUAAUGUGAAUGACACCACCUGGGACAGAGCACUGUGCUCUGCAUGAAUGAUGUCUUCUCGUGUUGUGUUAUUUUUAGGCCCUGAUCCAUCUGCUUCUGUUUUAUACCUAUCAUAGAAGACCAUGAAGCAUUUUGCAGAACUUCCUAAUUAUAGUCAGAAGAGGAAUUUACUGUGCAUUCUAGAAAAGGAGAGAAAAAAAUCUUCCAUUGUAGAAGAAAAUUAAUGAAAUAAAUGUAUCUAUAGUGAUGUGACCAAAUUGGCCUGAGCAAUUUAGCCCAUUGCAUAUUCUGUAAUUCAUCUAAAAUAGAGAUAUUAUUCUGGGGAGACCUCAGGACUAUAGUUUGUGCUGCUCAGGUGAGGUAAAGCGUGCAUAGGAAUUGGUAUUAUGAAAUGUUUUGGUUCCAUUAUCACCACAGUGUUUCCACUGGGUGUUCACCAGUGGAUGUUGCUUUCAGAAGUGUGUCUUUUAUAGGGUAAAAAGGCAUAAGAUAUUUUCUUAUUCUAUAAUUUAGGACUUUGACUAUGUGCUCCAGAGUAAUGAAGUCAGUCAUGGUAUUAGCAUUUCAGAGCUCACCCAUGGACACCAAUACUCAAGAGACACUGAUACUCAGUUGGACUAAAUUCAAAGAAACUCUUUGAACUUUAAGUAUGGGAAUUUGUGUUUAUUUUUGUGUUUCAAAACGAUAACCACCUGCUGCUUUGCCAGAUUCUUGUUUCUUCCAGUCAAAAUAAUAUAGCUCUUAAAAGUUCAUUUUCUCAACUAAGAAGCACAAUAUUAGAAGAAAAUGUUCUUUUCUAUUUCUUUAAUUUCUAUUUGUUCCUCAAGUUGAUCACCAAAUCCUGAGGGUAAAGAAAUUUACUUCAAUCAUCAUAUAUAUAGCAUGAGGCACAUUUAGGAAUCUUGUAGUCCAUAAUCCAAUCACAUCCUCCUUUUCUGGCCAAAAAAAAAAAAAGACUGUUGUCAAUUGUACAGAGAAGACAUCUGAAAUUUCCUUUUUAUAACUUCACAUUAGUAACAAUCAUUUGCAGAAACAGUGUUCAAAAGAUGAAGUGCUUCUCCAUAUUUCCUCAAAUAAUUAUGAAAUUACUAUGUGCAAAUGUUUAUAAAGGCUUUAAUUAGCACCUUAAGAUUUCACAUAGAGACCUGUAAAUACAUGAUAGAUUGAAAUUUGAAAAGUAUUUUUUUGAAAUGCUUCCCAUGCAGAAUAUUUUUAAUUAAGGUCUAACACCUCAUUCUGACUACUUUAAUUCUAGGAACUUCUGUAACCCUAUAUCCUAGUUUUGACUAUUUCUUUCUGCCUACAAUCUUCUUAUUGACCAUUUUUCCAACUACCUUACUCUUCAUUUGCUUGUCAUUUCUGUCACUGACCAUGGCUUAUCCCUGUGAUUCUGAUUUCUUUUUUCUUGCCAUUCAUUUCAACAACACUUUAAAAUACCUAAUGUUCUCGACUUGCUGCCAUAUUUUCCCAUUAAAUCAUGAAUUAAUUUUGUUCCACAACCUAAAUAUUCAAUAUUUUUUGCUCUCGGAUUGCCAGAGAAAGUCAAGCUGAUUAGGUGCUCCAAAAAUGUAUGGCUUGUAAUGUUUUAUGGGUUCUCAGCAUACCCUGCAAGUUAGUUGCUAUGGUUGUUGGUCAUGUUCCUCAUAGCUGCCAUUCCAAAAAUUGUUUCUCUAUCUUCAGACCUGGAAACCCAUUCACAGAUCCAGAUCUUUCUUUCAUCCUCACUAAGAUGAGUAAAACCAUUGGCAAAAACAAACAAAAAGCCCAAUUGAUUUCCCAACUCAUAUUCCCUCAGGUAUUUCCCAUCUUACAUUUUCUCUGUAUUUUUCCUGUCAUCUUAUUCUUUGUUCUCAUACAUUCUUAAUUAUUUUUUAUUAUACUUUAAGUUCUGGGAUACAUGUGCAGAACAUGCAGGUUUGUUACAUAGGUAUAUACAUGCCGUAGUGGUUUGCUGCACCCACCAACCCGUCAUCUACAUUAGGUAUUUCUCCAAUGCUAUCCCUCCCCUAGACCCCACCCCCGAUAGGCCUCAGUGUGUGAUGUUCCCCUCCCUGUGUCCCUGUGUUCUCAUUGUUCAACUCCCACUUAUGAAUGAGAACAUGCAGUGUUUGGUUUUCUGUUCUUCUGUUAGUUUGCUGAGAAUGAUGGUUUCCAGCUUCAUCCAUGUCCCUGCAAAGGACAUGAACUCAUUCAUUUUUAUGGCUGCAUAGUAUCCCAUUGUGUAUAUGUGCCACAUUUUCUUUAUCCAGUCAAUCAUUGGUGGGCAUUUGGAUUGGUUCCAAGUCUUUGCUAUUGUGAACAGUGCCACAAUGAACACAUGUGUGCAUAUGUCUUUAUAGUAGAAUGAUUUAUCCUUUGGGUAUAUACCCAGUAAUGGGAUUGCUGAGUCAAAUGGUGUUUCUGGUUUUAGAUCCUUGAGGAAUCUCCACACUGUCUUCCACAAUGGUUGAACUAAUUUACACUCCCACCAACAGUGUAAAAGCGUUCCUAUUUCUCCACAUUCUCUCCAGCAUCCGUUGUUUCCUGACUUUUUAAUGAUCACCAUCCUAACUGGCGUGAGAUGUCAUCUCAUUGUGGUUUUGAUUUGCAUUUCUCUAAUGACCAGUGAUGAUCUUUUUUUCAUAUGUUUGUCAGCCACAUAAAUUUCUUCUUUUGAGAAGUGUCUGUUCAUAUCCUUCACCCACUUUUUGAUGGGAUUUUUUUUUUUCUUGUAAAUUUAAAUUCCUUGUAGAUUCUGGAUAUUAACCCUUUGUCAGGUAGAUAGAUUGCAAAAUUUUUCUCCCAUUCUGUAGGUUGCCUGUUCACUCUGAUGAUAGUUUCUUUUGCUGUGCAGAAGCUCUGUAGUUUAAUUAGAUCCCAUUUGUCAGUUUUGGCUUUUGUUGCCAUUGCUUUUGGUGUUUUAGGCUUGAAGUCUUUUCCUAUCCCUGUGUCCUGAAUGGUAUUGCCCAGGUUUUCUUCUAGGGUUUUUAUGGUUUUAUGUCUUACGUUUAAGUGUUUAAUCCAUCUCGAGUUAAUUUUUGUAUAAGCUGUAAGGAAGGGGUCCAAUUUCAGUUUUCUGCAUAUGGCUAGCCAUUUUCCCAACACCAUUGAUUAAAUAGGGAAUCCAUUCCCCAUUGCUUGUUUUUGUCAGGUUUGUCAAAGAUCAGAUGGUUGUAGAUGUGUGGUGUUAUUUCUGAGGCCUCUGUUCUGUUCCAUUGUUCUGUACAUCUGUUUUGGUACCAGUACCAUGCUGUUUUGGUUACUGUAGCCUUGUAGUAUAGUUUGAAGUCAGGUAGUGUGAUGCCUCCAACUUUGUUCUUUUUGCGUAGGAUUGUCUUGGCUAUGUGGGCUCUUUUUUGGUUCCAUAUGAAAUCUAAAGUAGUUUUUGAACUGUAUGGUAGUUGGAAGUGCUCCUUGCAAUGUUUGCUUUGCAAAUAUUUACUCAUUGAUUUAACCUACUACCAUUAUCAACUGCUGUCACUAACUGCUUCACCAAAACUUGGUUAAAUAAAUAAUUAUCUUAAGGGAACAACAGAUACCACAGUCUACUUGAGGGUGGAGAUUGUGAGGAAAGAGAAGAUAAAAAAAUUACCUACUGGGCACUAUGCUUAUUACUUGGGUGAUGAAAUAAUCUGUAUACCAAACCCCUGUGCUACACAAUUUGGCUCUGUAACAAACCUGAAUAUGU